GAAGAAAAAAGGAGGCGAAGACUUCGCCGUCUGGCGUUCAAAACUGCCACCUCGUAAGGAUGGGAAGAUAGAAAGAAAAUGGGGGUUGGGACUAACGUUUGACGUCUUCAGCCAAAUAAUGUGUUCUGGCCCUACGUUCCUUAUUGGCUGGACCAAAGGACGAGCGAUUUCACAGAGAAAAGUGUUACAUGUCUCCAGAUGGGGCAGAAGGAAUUCAACAAGGCCCUUCAACAUGAAAGUCGAGCUUGACAUCUGUCAAAGGCACUCUUUUACAAAUAGAUACACCGUCCACAGCCUUGACACAAACUCAACUGUGGGAUAGAAAAGGCCACCACAGUCUGUAAAAAACAAUAGAGGGUUUUUUCUUCCGCACGGCCACCAACUUCAUCUGAUUGCCAACUUGAUAAAUCUUCCCAGUCAUUGCGAGAGUUAUAUCGUCUUGUGAUUGAGGGACGGAUUUGCCUUUCCCUUGGACGGCCUUGCUUUGCAGUUACUUCACUCGGCGGAAUGGUUGUAGCUUCCAUUUCACUUGGCGGUAUGGUUUUAGCUUCCAUUUCACUCGGCGGUAUGGUUGUAGCUUCCAUUUCACUCGGCGAAAUGGUUGAAUAACAAAACCAUCGAAUUGUAAAUUGGCUGAUCCUGAUUGUCCAUGUCUGAAUUGUCUAAGCAAUCGACAUUCUUUAAUUCAUCUUCCAAAAAGUUUAUUCUCACAUUUAAGGCGCAUCGAGGAAUUACCGUGCAUCUAAUAGCUUCUAACACCGUUCCCUGAUUCCAUUCUCAACCCCUAAUAACAGUUCCCUGCCUUUUUUAUUUCCGUUUAAGUCGUGAACACACGCUGAAACAAGAUUUCUGUACAUUCGACAGGUUCGAAAAUAGAACGAAUGAUAUUUAUUUGAUUGUUAUGCAUGUAAAAAAUAUAUCCGUUUCAUAACUAA
Molecule: long non-coding RNA, 935 nt
Organism: Daphnia magna
Lineage: Eukaryota; Metazoa; Arthropoda; Branchiopoda; Diplostraca; Daphniidae
Exons: 4
Source: RefSeq, a predicted model, not a curated record